Long non-coding RNA from Cryptomeria japonica (Japanese cedar), 725 nucleotides. RefSeq lists it as uncharacterized. The transcript is spliced from 2 exons. Lineage: Eukaryota; Viridiplantae; Streptophyta; Pinopsida; Cupressales; Cupressaceae. The record is from RefSeq and is a predicted model, not a curated record.
AGUAGACUUAUAGCUCAGAAGGUUGACACUCGCUCUAGCUUUUAUUGACGGUUAUGUACAUAUAUUUGACUGGCUUUAAUGAGACAAUACUGUCAAUAUUGACGGGAAUGUGUUCAGAAAAACAAUUAUAUAGGUUUUGCCGCCAGUGGUUUCAUUUGACGGCUUGCCUGUCUUCAAAAGAUUCAACGCGUUUCUGGAGAUUGGAAAUAUUGUGGAUCGCCCCCUGUUCUUCACAGAAAAAAAAAACUCUUCAUAACUACAAAGAUCAAACAGCCUUUGGCUUGGUGUGGUCAUGGAUCUUGCCACUGACGUUUUCAUUCCGGAGGAUUAUGCGAAAAGUCGCUACUCGAGAAAAAUGUGCGGCAAGCAACAGCCCAGCAAUUCUACAAAUCUCACAGAUGCCUGCAGCACGAAUGGCUCGUUUUCACAAAAGAACGAAAAUCCCCCAAAUAUGAGCGGCAAUUUCAACAAAGAGGAAAUACUUUUUUCUUGUUUUACUCCAUGAUUGAGCUUUUCUUCAGAAUAUGAGGGGCUGAGCCCUGUUUACGAUGAGGAUUCCUUUUUGUUCCUGUGCAUCUUUUCUUUAAUGUCGAUCUUUCGUAUUAUCUGUUUUUAUCGAAUUUAUACAAAUAUUUUGCAGGAUUUUCGCAUUUUCGGGGGAAAACCUACUGGCUUGAAUUAUAUCUCUUAAUAUCAAAACAAUGGUUUUUCAAUCAUUUCGAUUA